CUUUAAAACUUCCAGUGAUGGAACAUUCACAACUUUUGAAGGAGUCCCCAACCCCCGAUCUAUGGACCGGCACUGUUUUGCAACAUGUCAGAAACCAGGCUACCCAAACAAGUGAAACCCCAUCCAUGGGAUGCAGGCAGCAUGUGAAACCACGUCCACUCUGAUCUGUGGAAAAACCUCUCCAUGGAACCGCUCCAUUGCCUAAAAGGCAACUUUGCGGGCCACUGAUUUAUAGGAUAAAUAGGAAUAUAUGAACAAGCUGGGCCAGUUUCACUUUUGUGACUUAAUAACUUAAGCCCCCCCCCGCCCCCAUGUCAUCUUUUGCAUCCCACAACACAGCAUAUUCAUGGGGCAUGUGCCUCUUAACUGGUAAGCUAAAAGGCUAUAUCAUUGCUCUGUGCCUAUUUCAGUGCUUAUAACACAUGAAGCAAGAGGAAUCACAAAAGAUGGGCUAAUGGAAAAAAAGAGCUUUGGCACAUUCGUCGUCCAGAAUAGAAGCUCCUUCCUCAUCACAUCCAGCAGGAGAUAAUUGCCAGAAAUAGAGUCACAGCUAUUGUAUUCUUCCCACGACCAUUGAUGAGCCCCAAGUCACUGAUGAUCUACAAAUGCAGUGUAGCAUUCACUGGAUUCACCACAGGUGUUGAGCUCAAGUUACAUUUCUCUGGGAAUGGAAGAGUCAGUCACACUCCUAACCAUUUAAGUGCUGUGAUAAGGUUUGCUUUUCCUCACUUGCCUGUUCUCCUCCCAUCACUGAUGCACUGUCACCUUGCUAAUAGAAGCAGGAACUAUUUUAGUGACUAGAGACUUUUAGAACAAUGUAUACAAACAACUUCAAUGCUAGCAGCCUCCAGGCGAAUGAACUAGUUCUUCCAUGGCACUUAUGACAAUCGACUUAUGACUAACCAUGUCAGAUGUUGCAGAGAGAGGCUAUUUCUAUACCAGAAACUCAUCAUUUCAGUUCUCCAAAUCCUUGUCUUCAUGUGGCCAAAAUAGUUCUCACCACUGACAGAAGAGAAGCAUCAACAGUCUAAAGAAAACCCUAUUUGCAGACAUAAUAUAUUUUAAGGGGAGAAAACAAAAUGACACUUUUCCAGAUUUUUAUUUUUAUUUUGUACCAAAGUUCUGAACAAAUGACUUAAAUUACAUAGUAAUGUUUUGUUAUGCAAAAAUAUUCCCAAAAUACUGGUGGAAAAAUAUUAAAAAGUAUCAAAAAUUAA
Thamnophis elegans (Western terrestrial garter snake) is the source of this 1217-nucleotide long non-coding RNA. RefSeq lists it as uncharacterized. The transcript has 2 exons. The record is from RefSeq and is a predicted model, not a curated record. NCBI's taxonomy places the organism in Eukaryota, Metazoa, Chordata, Lepidosauria, Squamata, Natricidae.